This 458-nucleotide long non-coding RNA is filed under the name Mytilus galloprovincialis (Mediterranean mussel). The record is from RNAcentral. Lineage: Eukaryota; Metazoa; Mollusca; Bivalvia; Mytilida; Mytilidae.
GGUUUUUUUAUAUGACCAUUCCGAGUUUGUUCCGAUUGUUUGAUAUUUAUGUAUAAGGUGCGCAUUUUUUGUUUAAAAAAACAUAAUCGUGUCUGUGUUAAAAAGAUGUCGGAAUGAAGAAUUACAGAGGAAUGCAUAUGGGAAAAAAAUAAUUAAAAGGAGAUUUGAGAAAAGAGGUCGGACUAGGUUUUAUUCAUACUCACGGUAUGACAGCUGUAUGAGUAUACUUAGACUGAGUUUCUAGCAACAUUACGGAAUAUUUCGAUAUUCAUAGAUGCCUAAGGAUGAGUGAUCAAAACAGAAAUGGUGUUAAUUAGACCCCGUUAACACUUGCACGGAAUUGAAAUAAAAUCGAUCUCUGAAGAGCAUCUCGCGUUUUCGAUCUUUUUAAAAGAACUUGUGCGUUUACAUUUAGUAUACAUUGCAUAUCUAAAAUAAUCAGCCUAACCAUUUCGUUG